RNAcentral lists this ribosomal RNA (443 nucleotides) under uncultured bacterium. Its description in RNAcentral is "partial 16S ribosomal RNA". It matches the Rfam family "Bacterial small subunit ribosomal RNA", at positions 338 to 795 of the family's 1533-position model. The record is from RNAcentral.
CCUACGGGAGGCAGCAGUGGGGAAUAUUGCACAAUGGGGGAAACCCUGAUGCAGCAACGCCGCGUGAAGGAAGACGGUUUUCGGAUUGUAAACUUCUAUCAAUAGGGAAGAAAGAAAUGACGGUACCUAAAGAAUAAGCCACGGCUAACUACGUGCCAGCAGCCGCGGUAAUACGUAGGUGGCAAGCGUUAUCCGGAUUUACUGGGUGUAAAGGGCGAGUAGGCGGGAUUGCAAGUCAGAUGUGAAAACUAUGGGCUCAACCGAUAGAGUGCAUUUGAAACUGCAGUUCUUGAGUGAUGGAGAGGCAGGCGGAAUUCCCGGUGUAGCGGUGGAAUGCGUAGAUAUCGGGAGGAACACCAGUGGCGAAGGCGGCCUGCUGGACAUUAACUGACGCUGAGGCGCGAAAGCGUGGGGAGCAAACAGGAUUAGAUACCCUAGUAGUC